Molecule: ribosomal RNA, 440 nt
Filed under: uncultured bacterium
Lineage: Bacteria
Description: partial 16S ribosomal RNA
Rfam family: Bacterial small subunit ribosomal RNA
Source: RNAcentral
CCUACGGGAGGCAGCAGUGAGGAAUAUUGGUCAAUGGACGCAAGUCUGAACCAGCCAUGCCGCGUGAGGGAAGAAGGUUUUCGGAUUGUAAACCACUGUUCGCGGUGGAGAUAAUGACGGUAACCAAGGAGAAAGCUCCGGCUAACUACUGGCCAGCAGCCGCGGUAAUACGGAGGGAGCAAGCGUUUUCCGGAGUUAAUGGGAGUAACGGGUGCGGAGGCGGUAUUGCCAGUGAGACGUGAAAGUCACAGGCUCAACCUGUGGAAUGCGUGUGAAACUGUGGGGCGUGAGUGAAGGAGAGGUAGGCGGAAUUCCAGGUGUAGCGGUGAAAUGCGUAGAGAUCGGGAGGAACACCAGUGGCGAAGGCGGCCUACUGGGCUUUAACUGACGCUGAGGCACGAAAGCAUGGGUAGCAAACAGGAUUAGAUACCCCAGUAGUC